AACGAACGCUGGCGGCAGGCCUAAAACAUGCAAGUCGAGCGGGCAUAGCAAUUUGUCAGCGGCGGACGGGUGAAUAACACGUGGGAACAUGCCCUUUGGUACGGAACAACUCAGGGAAACUUGAGCUAAUACCGUAUGUGCCGGUAACGGGAAAGAUUUAUCGCCAAAGGAUUGGCCCGCGUCCGAUUAGCUAGUUGGUGAGGUAACGGCUCACCAAGGCGACGAUCGGUAGCUGGUUUGAGAGAACGAUCAGCCACACUGGGACUGAGACACGGCCCAGACUCCUACGGGAGCAGCAGUUGGGAAUCUUGGACAAUGGGGGAAACCCUGAUCCAGCCAUGCCGCGUGAGCGAUGAAGGCCU
RNAcentral lists this ribosomal RNA (362 nucleotides) under uncultured bacterium. RNAcentral describes it as "bacterial SSU rRNA". It matches the Rfam family "Bacterial small subunit ribosomal RNA", at positions 29 to 417 of the family's 1533-position model. The record is from RNAcentral.